Molecule: non-coding RNA, 31 nt
Filed under: Mus musculus (house mouse)
Lineage: Eukaryota; Metazoa; Chordata; Mammalia; Rodentia; Muridae
Source: RNAcentral
UGCUCUUCAGUUCCCGUUUCUAACGUCAGUU